AGCACUGGACGGUUCUAACAUAUGCGCAUUACUGCGGCGGAUUACAGGGAGUGAUUAUAGACGUAAGGUAGACAAUUCGGAUAUCUUCCCGUUCAACCGGAAUGUGCAUAAUGGCCUUCUAUACACUCUUCGGAUUAAUUUGUGCCCAACUGUUGCACCAGACGUUAGGAAACAGCACCUUGAAAACACGAAGGAGCACCGACUCGACAGCACACAUUCUGGACCAGCUAAUGGGAACAAGUGGCUACGACUCAAGAGUGAGUCCAG
This is a long non-coding RNA of Priapulus caudatus, 267 nucleotides long. RefSeq lists it as uncharacterized. NCBI's taxonomy places the organism in Eukaryota, Metazoa, Priapulida, Priapulimorpha, Priapulimorphida, Priapulidae. The record is from RefSeq and is a predicted model, not a curated record. The transcript is spliced from 3 exons.